Long non-coding RNA from Oncorhynchus keta (chum salmon), 965 nucleotides. RefSeq lists it as uncharacterized. The transcript is spliced from 3 exons. The record is from RefSeq and is a predicted model, not a curated record. NCBI's taxonomy places the organism in Eukaryota, Metazoa, Chordata, Actinopteri, Salmoniformes, Salmonidae.
UAUAUACAGGAGGUACCAGUACAGAGUCAAUGUGGAGGCUAUAUACAGGGGUACCAGUACAGAGUCAAUGUGGAGGCUAUAUACAGGGGGUACCAGUACAGAGUCAAUGUGGAGGCUAUAUACAGGAGGUACCAGUACAGAGUCAAUGUGGAGGCUAUAUACAGGGGGUACCAGUACAGAGUCAAUGUGGAGGCUAUAUACAGGGGGUACCAGUACAGAGUCAAUGUGGAGGCUAUAUACAGGAGGUACCAGUACAGAGUCAAUGUGGAGGCUAUAUACAGGAGGUACCAGUACAGAGUCAAUGUGGAGGCUAUAUACAGGGGGUACCAGUACAGAGUCAAUGUGGAGGCUAUAUACAGGGGGUACCAGUACAGAGUCAAUGUGGAGGCUAUAUACAGGAGGUACCAGUACAGAGUCAAUGUGGAGGCUAUAUACAGGAGGUACCAGUACAGAGUCAAUGUGGAGGCUAUAUACAGGAGGUACCAGUACAGAGUCAAUGUGGAGGCUAUAUACAGGAGGUACCAGUACAGAGUCAAUGUGGAGGCUAUAUACAGGGGGUACCAGUACAGAGUCAAUGUGGAGGCUAUAUACAGGAGGUACCAGUACAGAGUCAAUGUGGAGGCUAUAUACAGGAGGUACCAGUACAGAGUCAAUGUGGAGGCUAUAUACAGGAGGUACCAGUACAGAGUCAAUGUGGAGGCUAUAUACAGGGGUACCAGUACAGAGUCAAUGUGGAGGCUAUAUACAGGAGGUACCAGUACAGAGUCAAUGUGGAGGCUAUAUACAGGAGGUACCAGUACAGAGUCAAUGUUAGUCAAGGUAAUUGAAGUAAUAUGUACAUUUAGGUUAAAGUGAUGCAUAGACAAUAAACAGAGAAUAGAAGCAGCGUAAAGGGGACGACAACCUUGAAACACAGAUGAUUUGUGACACAUUCACACAGUGUUUAUGAAGGCCUUAAGAACCCU